This 806-nucleotide ribosomal RNA is filed under the name uncultured bacterium. RNAcentral's name for it is "bacterial SSU rRNA". It matches the Rfam family "Bacterial small subunit ribosomal RNA", at positions 46 to 832 of the family's 1533-position model. The record is from RNAcentral.
GGAUUAGGCAUGCAAGUCGCACGAGAAAGGCUUCUUCGGAGGCCGAGUAAAGUGGCGGGCGGGUGAGUAAUGCAUGGAUAACUUGCCCUUGAGAUGGAGACAACGCCUCGAAAGGGGUGCUAAUACCCAAUACCGCCGCGGGUCGCCGGAUCUGCGGUGAAAGGAGGCCUCUGAUUCAAGCUUCCGCUCAAGGAGAGGUUCAUGUCCUAUUAGCUAGUUGGCGGGGUAACGGCCCACCAAGGCUUCGAUGGGUAGCCGACCUGAGAGGGUGACCGGCCACAUUGGGACUGAGACACUGCCCAGACUCCUACGGGAGGCUGCAGUCGAGAAUCUUCCGCAAUGCGCGCAAGCGUGACGGAGCGACGCCGCGUGGGUGACGAAGGCCUUCGGGUUGUAAAACCCUGUCAGCUGUUAUGAAAGGCGGGCGAUGAACAAUUGUCCCGCUUGACGUAAGCAGCAGAGGAAGCACCGGCUAACUACGUGCCAGCAGCCGCGGUAAUACGUAGGGUGCGAACGUUGUUCGGAAUCACUGGGCAUAAAGGGCGUGUAGGCGGUCGUACAAGUCAGAUGUGAAAGCCCCCGGCCUAACCGGGGAACUGCAUUUGAUACUGUGCGGCUAGAGUGCAGAGGGGAGAGUGGAAUUCCUGGUGGAGCGGUGAAAUGCGUAGAUAUCACAGGAACGCCGGUGGCGAAAGCGACUCUCUGGCCUGCAACUGACGCUGAGGCGCGAAAGCUAGGGGAGCAAACGGGAUUAGAUACCCCGGUAGUCCUAGCCCUAAACGAUGGGCACUAAGUAGAGGGGUUUU